Non-coding RNA from Oryza sativa Japonica Group (Japanese rice), 2285 nucleotides. The record is from RefSeq and is a predicted model, not a curated record. NCBI's taxonomy places the organism in Eukaryota, Viridiplantae, Streptophyta, Magnoliopsida, Poales, Poaceae.
CCCGGUCGCGACGCCGCCCUGCCACACUCUCUCUCCUCCCAGAAUCCCCCCAAUCUCCCACCAGCCAUGGAUGCCGCGGCGCUGCCCUGUUUCGAUCGGCGAUCCGCUUGCUUCGCCGCUAGCUCCCCGAGCCCUACUACGGCCGGGCGCGCGCCCGAGCGAGGAGGCAUCGCCGCGCGCGGAUCAUGGAUGGUAGGUCGGAUGGCCGGUGGCGGCUGCGGCGCCGACGACCGAAAGGCCGGCUAGGUUAUCCAAUACAAGCUAUCCAAAUUUCAAUGGUGCUGAACUGCUGCAUUUCGAAACAUGAAUUACAAGACUUGCUUAUUGAUAUUCUUACACUAGGAUGAUCCUGGGAUUCUGUUUGCCAUCAUAGUAGUUGCAUUUCACACCUUCCCAGGUUUACCAUCGAUGGUGUCAGUGGUGAGGUUUUCCAUCCGAACAAGCGAGUAAGCCUCAAAGGCGUUGAUGAGUGGUGGGAGCUCCGAGCUGUUUGUCUUGCACAGGGUGAAAGUUGUACCUGACUCAUGUAGGUACCGGUCCCUCAGGUACACGCUGUCCACCUGCAAGUAGGACGGUGAGAAGGCCUGGUGCAGCUCGUUGCCAUCACUAUAGAUUUGGAACGUCCGAUUUGGGCGGUUCUUUUCUAUCUCAGCAAAGUGGAAGAUCGGGAGAAGCUCCAGGCUCUGGCCAUUCAGGUUAUCACCGGCCGUUAUGCUGAUGUUGAGCCAUGAAAAACCGCUGUUGAUGGUGGAUGCCUUCUGGACGAUGAGUGUUGGCACCUGGAAGUUGUCAUUUCCUGGGAGCUUGUUCACUGUUUGGUUGGUGGUCAGGUUGAGCCAGGGAUAGGAGUAGCAUUGGGCUGCUUCCCAGAAACGAUCAAAGAGAUCAGUUGGAUAUCUGUAUCACCACGGCAACAUAAAUGGAGAAGCAAUUGAUACAGGGCACCUACGGUUGCAAUAUGGUAUAAUAAAAGAAACAGAAAAAAAAGAAUCUUCAUCUCACCUUGUGAUGAAAUCAUCGACUGCCCCAAAUCUCAUUCGAGUAAAGUAGCUUACAGACACAAAAAGAUUCAGGAAUGGGUACAUUGGAUCAUCCAAUUGCCGCAACUCCAAUGCAGAAAUGAAAGGGGUUCCUGAUCCAAAGUUUACCAGGCACACAUAUAUGAACUCGUCCGGAGCAACCGUGAGCACCUCUUUCCAGAUAGUGUCUGAUGAGUCCUGUUUUGUCAAGUUCACCGUUGUCCAGAAGUUGACGCCGAUGUGGAGUCCAAACAGAAAUAAGGAACCGUUCUCUGACGACCUGAGUCCAUCGUAGUUUCCGGAAGCUUCUCAAGGUUUUCUCUUGCUCAUCGGUGGAUCCACUAAUUAGCUUUGGCACAACUUCAUGGUGUGUGCCGCCUUCAACGAAUUCAUGAUCAGGUACGUAUGUUAAAUUUGUUGUGCUGUCCGUGUAACUCUCGCCGUCUACGAAGCCACAGUCAAUGUUUGUGAACCCUGCAUAUACAGACAGAAAUGCUUGUGAGGGUAAGGUACCAACUUAAGCCUGACUCUUUUUUUUGUUGUUUUCUUCUGGGGAACUUAUAACGUAAGUUAAGAUGAACUAUUCUGUUCAUGGGCUUAUGGCCAAUUUAUCGGCUUAACAAUGAGUUGAGUAUAGAUACAUAACACCAUAUAGGGCAAUACUUGCACGUUUGGGAUCUCUGCUCCACAGUGCAGCUCACUGAUCAUUCUCCUGAUGAUUUUUUUUAAAAUAGCAUUUGUGUGGUCGUCCUCUACGUCAGGGGUCUACCCGGCGUCCAGUGCGUAUCAGGGUGGAUUCGUUGCAGCUUCUGGAAAAUAAUUCGUUCCAGGCAAAUGGAAAAAAAAACUGUGGUUUGUCAGCCGUGGGAGGUGUUUGACGGCUGAUAAUCUCCGGAAGCGUGGGUGGCCAAGUCAGACCUUCUGCCCACUUUGUCAGACAGUAGAAGAGACCUGCAAACAUUCUUUCGGUGGCUGCCUCUUUUCCCUUCAGAUAGGGGCGCAGGUCUGUUAACACUUCGGAAUUGCACCGGCUUUCGAUGGGGAUGACCUGGUAGCGUGGUGGCUUGCAAUUCGGAAGGAUUUCCAGAAGUUACUUCCUCCGUCCAACAAUAUUUAUCUCUCUAGUAUUAAAAAAUUAUCUUGAAAUAGUUGUCAUUUGGAAGUACCACUUAUCACAUCAACCACUUCCAAUUUAAAUUCCUCUCCAUGAUACCCCUAACCACUAUUCCACAUUUUAUUAAGGGUAUUAUAGUUUUUUUCUUCUAA